GAUGAACGCUGGCGGUAUGCUUAACACAUGCAAGUCGAACGGUCACUUCGGUGAUAGUGGCGGACGGGUGAGUAACGCGUGAGAAUCUGUCUUCAGGUCGGGGACAACAGUUAGAAAUGACUGCUAAUACCGGAUGUGCCUUUGGGUGAAAGAUUUAUUGCCUGAAAAAGAGCUCGCGUCAGAUUAGCUAGUAGGUGGUGUAAGAGACUACCUAGGCUCCGAUCUGUAGCUGGUCUGAGAGGACGAUCAGCCACACUGGAACUGAGACACGGUCCAGACUCCUACGGGAGGCAGCAGUGGGGAAUUUUCCGCAAUGGGCGAAAGCCUGACGGAGCAAUACCGCGUGAGGGACGAAGGCUUUUGGGCCGUAAACCUCUUUUCUCAAGGAAGAUGAUGACGGUACUUGAGGAAUAAGCAGCGGCUAACUCUGUG
This 432-nucleotide ribosomal RNA is filed under the name uncultured bacterium. RNAcentral describes it as "partial 16S ribosomal RNA". It matches the Rfam family "Bacterial small subunit ribosomal RNA", at positions 28 to 507 of the family's 1533-position model. The record is from RNAcentral.